This 497-nucleotide ribosomal RNA is filed under the name uncultured bacterium. RNAcentral describes it as "partial 16S ribosomal RNA". It matches the Rfam family "Bacterial small subunit ribosomal RNA", at positions 28 to 507 of the family's 1533-position model. The record is from RNAcentral.
GAUGAACGCUGGCGGCGUGCCUAAUACAUGCAAGUCGAGCGAACGGACGAGAAGCUUGCUUCUCUGAUGUUAGCGGCGGACGGGUGGGUAACACGUGGAUAACCUCCCUAUAAGACUGGGAUAACUUCGGGAAACCGGAGCUACUACCGGAUAAUAUUUUGAACCGCAUGGUUCAAAAGUGAAAGACGGUCUUUCUGUCACUUAUAGAUGGAUCCGCGCUGCAUUAGCUAGUUGGUAAGGUAACGGCUUACCAAGGCGACGAUGCAUAGCCGGCCUGAGAGGGUGAUCGGCCACACUGGAACGGAGACACGGUCCAGACGCCUACGGGAGGCAGCAGUAGGGAAUCUUCCGCAAUGGGCGAAAGCCUGACGGAGCAACGCCGCGUGAGUGAUGAAGGUCUUCGGAUCGUAAAACUCUGUUAUUAGGGAAGAACAUAUGUGUAAGUAACUGUGCACAUCUUGACGGUACCUAAUCAGAAAGCCACGGCUAACUACGUG